CUAGCUACAGGCUUAACACAUGCAAGUCGAGGGGCAGCAUGGUCUUAGCUUGCUAAGGCCGAUGGCGACCGGCGCACGGGUGAGUAACACGUAUCCAACCUGCCGUCUACUCUUGGACAGCCUUCUGAAAGGAAGAUUAAUGCAAGAUGGCAUCAUGAGUCCGCAUGUUCACAUGAUUAAAGGUAUUCCGGUAGACGAUGGGGAUGCGUUCCAUUAGAUAGUAGGCGGGGUAACGGCCCACCUAGUCUUCGAUGGAUAGGGGUUCUGAGAGGAAGGUCCCCCCCAUUGGAACUGAGACACGGUCCAAACUCCUACGGGAGGCAGCAGUGAGGAAUAUUGGUCAAUGGGCGAGAGCCUGAACCAGCCAAGUAGCGUGAAGGAUGACUGCCCUAUGGGUUGUAAACUUCUUUUAUAAAGGAAUAAAGUCGGGUAUGGAUACCCGUUUGCAUGUACUUUAUGAAUAAGGAUCGGCUAACUCCGUGCCAGCAGCCGCGGUAAUACGGAGGAUCCGAGCGUUAUCCGGAUUUAUUGGGUUUAAAGGGAGCGUAGAUGGAUGUUUAAGUCAGUUGUGAAAGUUUGCGGCUCAACCGUAAAAUUGCAGUUGAUACUGGAUAUCUUGAGUGCAGUUGAGGCAGGCGGAAUUCGUGGUGUAGCGGUGAAAUGCUUAGAUAUCACGAAGAACUCCGAUUGCGAAGGCAGCCUGCUAAGCUGCAACUGACAUUGAGGCUCGAAAGUGUGGGUAUCAAACAGGAUUAGAUACCCUGGUAGUCCACACGGUAAACGAUGAAUACUCGCUGUUUGCGAUAUACGGCAAGCGGCCAAGCGAAAGCGUUAAGUAUUCCACCUGGGGAGUACGCCGGCAACGGUGAAACUCAAAGGAAUUGACGGGGGCCCGCACAAGCGGAGGAACAUGUGGUUUAAUUCGAUGAUACGCGAGGAACCUUACCCGGGCUUAGAUUGCAGAUGAAUUACGGUGAAAGCCGUAAGCCGCAAGGCAUCUGUGAAGGUGCUGCAUGGUUGUCGUCAGCUCGUGCCGUGAGGUGUCGGCUUAAGUGCCAUAACGAGCGCAACCCUUGUUGUCAGUUACUAACAGGUUCCGCUGAGGACUCUGACAAGACUGCCAUCGUAAGAUGUGAGGAAGGUGGGGAUGACGUCAAAUCAGCACGGCCCUUACGUCCGGGGCUACACACGUGUUACAAUGGGGGGUACAGAGGGCCGCUACCACGCGAGUGGAUGCCAAUCCCCAAAACCUCUCUCAGUUCGGACUGGAGUCUGCAACCCGACUCCACGAAGCUGGAUUCGCUAGUAAUCGCGCAUCAGCCACGGCGCGGUGAAUACGUUCCCGGGCCUUGUACACACCGCCCGUCAAGCCAUGGGAGCCGGGGGUACCUGAAGUGCGUAACCGCGAGGAGCGCCCUAGGGUAAAACUGGUGACUGGG
This 1439-nucleotide ribosomal RNA is filed under the name uncultured organism. Its description in RNAcentral is "SSU rRNA". It matches the Rfam family "Bacterial small subunit ribosomal RNA". The record is from RNAcentral.